AUCCUUGUAUUGUUCAUUAAUCUGAUAAUUGGGUAUUCAGGCACAUACAUGUGCCUCCCUCAAACCUGGUCAUGGCAUAGGCCUACAUUACCUGUUUGAUG
Small nucleolar RNA from Otolemur garnettii (small-eared galago), 101 nucleotides. NCBI's taxonomy places the organism in Eukaryota, Metazoa, Chordata, Mammalia, Primates, Galagidae. The record is from Ensembl.